AGAGCGAACGCUGGCGGCAGGCCUAACACAUGCAAGUCGAGCGCCCCGCAAGGGGGAGCGGCAGACGGGAGAGUAACACGUGGGAACGUACCCUUCAGUUCGGAACAACCCAGGGAAACUUGGGCUAAUACCGAAUACGUCCGUAAGGAGAAAGAUUUAUCGCUGAAGGAUCGGCCCGCGUCUGAUUAGCUAGUUGGUGAGGUAAUGGCUCACCAAGGCUACGAUCAGUAGCUGGUCUGAGAGGAUGAUCAGCCUCACUGGGACUGAGACACGGCCCAGACUCCUACGGGAGGCAGCAAGGUGGGGAAUA
RNAcentral lists this ribosomal RNA (310 nucleotides) under uncultured soil bacterium. RNAcentral describes it as "bacterial SSU rRNA". It matches the Rfam family "Bacterial small subunit ribosomal RNA", at positions 26 to 363 of the family's 1533-position model. The record is from RNAcentral.